ACACCUCAACUCCCGUGGUUCGCCACGGUGAGCUUGGACUCUGGGGGUUUUGCUGGCCUGUGGUCGGCUCCUCUCAAAUGAAUUAGCCUGCCAGUGUUUGGUGGCGUCACGGGUGUGAUAAAUAUCUACGCUUGCGAUUGCCCACCAGGUAACCUUCAGCAAUGAGGGUUCACUGGGGCUCAUAGACGUCUCUCCCUCAGCGAGGACAGUUUUUAAC
Molecule: unclassified non-coding RNA, 217 nt
Filed under: uncultured Tomentella
Lineage: Eukaryota; Fungi; Basidiomycota; Agaricomycetes; Thelephorales; Thelephoraceae
Description: sequence contains ITS2
Source: RNAcentral